Molecule: unclassified non-coding RNA, 229 nt
Filed under: Mortierella sp.
Lineage: Eukaryota; Fungi; Mortierellomycota; Mortierellomycetes; Mortierellales; Mortierellaceae
Description: partial internal transcribed spacer region
Rfam family: Eukaryotic small subunit ribosomal RNA (bases 1-46)
Source: RNAcentral
AAGUCGUAACAAGGUUUCCGUAGGUGAACCUGCGGAAGGAUCAUUCACAAUGGGUGUUUUAUGGCACCCUUAAAAAUCCAUAUCCACCUUGUGUGAAAUGUAAGAGAGGAGGGUCUUUUCCCUUCUCUUUCUUUAACAACCCUUCAAAUAAACCAAUUGAUUCUGAAAACACUAUUAUGAAUUACUUAAUUCAAAAUACAACUUUCAACAACGGAUCUCUUGGCUCUCA